GGGCGGUUAGCUCAGUUGGUAGAGCAUCCCGUUUACACCGGGACGGUCGGGAGUUCAAGUCUCUCAUCGCCCACCA
This 76-nucleotide transfer RNA is filed under the name Rickettsia sp. RNAcentral describes it as "tRNA-Val". It matches the Rfam family "tRNA". From Rfam's summary of the family: Transfer RNA (tRNA) molecules are approximately 80 nucleotides in length. Their secondary structure includes four short double-helical elements and three loops (D, anti-codon, and T loops). Lineage: Bacteria; Pseudomonadati; Pseudomonadota; Alphaproteobacteria; Rickettsiales; Rickettsiaceae. RNAcentral also lists the same sequence under 2 other names. The record is from RNAcentral.